ACUGUUUGCAGUUAAAAGCUCGUAGUUGAAUUUCUGGUCGUGGCAACCGGUCCAUCCCUCACGGGAUGUGUACCAGGUUUCUGCGGCCAUCCUCGGGGAGAGCACAUCGGGCAUUGAGUUGUCUGGUGUGGGAUCCUCGUCAUUUACUGUGAGCAAAAUAGAGUGUUCAAAGCAGGCUUAGGCCGUUGAAUACAUUAGCAUGGAAUAAUAAGAUAGGACCUUGGUCUAUUUUGUUGGUUUGCAUUCCAAGGUAAUGAUUAAUAGGGAUAGUUGGGGGUAUUCGUAUUCAAUUGUCAGAGGUGAAAUUCUUGGAUUUAUGGAAGACGAACUACUGCGAAAGCAUUUACCAAGGAUGUUUUCAUUAAUCAAGAACGAAAGUUAGGGGGAUCGAAGAUGAUUAAGAUACCAUCGUAGUCCUUAACCAUAAACUAUGCCAACUAGGAUUGGUGGACGUUUGUUACACGGCCUCAGCACCUUAAGAGAAAUCAAGUCUUUGGGUUCCGGGGGGGAGAUUGGCCAAA
This 521-nucleotide ribosomal RNA is filed under the name Chlorella sp. CLB4. RNAcentral describes it as "SSU rRNA". It matches the Rfam family "Eukaryotic small subunit ribosomal RNA", at positions 606 to 1134 of the family's 1831-position model. The record is from RNAcentral. Lineage: Eukaryota; Viridiplantae; Chlorophyta; Trebouxiophyceae; Chlorellales; Chlorellaceae.